AUGUCCCGUCCUACUCAACCCUGGCUCUCAUCUACCCUCUUCUCCACCCACCCCCAGCCUGACGCAGGCCACAGGCACAAAUGCCUGAUCAGGUUAUUCACCUUUGGAACCCAGCCACCAUUUUGUGAGGAAGCCCCAGACACAAGAAGAGACCACAUUUGAGUGUUCUGGCUGCUAGCCCCAGCUAAAAUUCCAGUCACAGAAUCACCAGUCAUGUAAAUGAAAAGGCCUUCAGAUGGUUCUAAUUUCAGCCUUUGAGCUGUGCUACCUGAUACUGAGAUGAACUGUCUCUACUGACCCCAGUCAAAAUUGCAGAUCCCUGAGCAAAAUAAAUGUAGUUGGUCUUUUAAUCCAUUAAGUUUUUGUUGUUGUUAUUGUUGUUGUUUUGUUUGUUCGUUAAUCAUUAAGUUUUAGGGUAGUUUGUCACACAGUGUUAAAUUACUGGAAUACCACCAAAUGUCCUCUGCCCUACUUGAGACAUCUGAAUCUUCUGUGCUGGAAUAAGCCUCUUUAAUGAAAAUGUGGCCUUGGGAUCUGGCUGUGAGUUUGUUUUGGGUUUAUCAUCCUUCUCUUGACACAGAUGAAGCAGGCCGACGAUAGAUAGAUAGAUAGAUAGAUAGAUAGAUAGAUAGAUAGAUAAAAUCUGUUUCAGUGUGGCUUAAGUAAAAUGUAGCCAUGUAUUUAAAGGUUUUAUUACUGACUUUGCUUGUGAGGCAUCUCUCCCACCCUUUGGAGUUCCAACAAUUGUCAUUGAAGAGUAGCUCUGAUGCUUACUAGUUGUGUGAUCUGAGCCAAAUUACUUAAACUCUUCAAGCUUUAGUGUCCUCGUCCAUAAAAUGGGCAUAAUGAUACCUACCUCCUUUAUGUAAGCUUGUAGCUCAAAGUCUGGCCCAUUGUAGGUAUUCAAUAAGAAAAAGGUGACUGUUUUGAUUGAAAGUUAAAAUGUUUAAAAAAUUUUUCUAUGUAAAAUAAUCUUGUUGAUGGAGGUCAUACAAAUUUGUAGAACAUAUCCAUAAUUUGUACCUAACUGUAAGACUAUACUACUUUGAAGUCACAAUUCUUCAGGAUCAAAUAAAGGACAGUAAAUACUUAUUACAGCAAUAUAGUCUGUGUUGCUACAACUCACAAGGACAGAUUUAUUAAAAUUGGUGGCACUAAGCUAAGAGUGACUAUAAAAUUGACAAGUUGAAAAGAGUUUUCUUUUUCCCACUAGCUGCAGCCCCCUUACAAAAAAAAGAGAAAAACCUACAUCAAAUGCUUGGGAAAUUCUAAUUGGUUUCUCUUUUCUGAUGGCAAGAUUUAUCCUAUUAGAAACACACAUGGCAUGAGACUGAAUUUUUGGUGGGAUGAGUUUGAAGACUACAGGAUUAGGUAGAUUUGGGGGGAGCAUUUAAUUGGCCCUGGAAUC
RNAcentral lists this long non-coding RNA (1408 nucleotides) under Canis lupus familiaris (dog). RNAcentral's name for it is "lncRNA (ENSCAFG00040002568.1)". The record is from RNAcentral. Lineage: Eukaryota; Metazoa; Chordata; Mammalia; Carnivora; Canidae.